This 288-nucleotide long non-coding RNA is filed under the name Mustela putorius furo (domestic ferret). RNAcentral's name for it is "lncRNA (ENSMPUG00000031366.1)". The record is from RNAcentral. Lineage: Eukaryota; Metazoa; Chordata; Mammalia; Carnivora; Mustelidae.
AGAUUCAUGUCUCAAUCCAUCCUGCUUUUUUUCUGCCAUAUUCCUACUCCAGGUUCUUGCAUGCCUGGUGAGAGCCAGUGAGGGGGAACGCAGUGCUUAAGGAGUUGCAACACUGGAGACAGGCUUUGGUGAUUCAAAUCUGGGCCCUGCUGCUCAGUGGCUUUGUGUCCUUGGACUGAGAGUAUCUCAAAGCAGGGACCUCAUCCUGUUCAUCACUGCCAUCCAAAUGGUGCCCAGAACACAAAAGGUACCAAGUAAAUGUAAAUGUUUGUUAAAUCAACUGUCCCC